UUAAAAAUAAAAUUUAUUUGUAUGUGAAGGAACGUUAGCACCAUAGGAAUUGAUCCCGCGACGUCCAUCGCACUAAAACAGCGUGCUAACCACCACGUCAAGCGUUAAGUUGUGAUUCAAAGAGGCCACUUAAUAAGUAUAUCAUAUUUCUUUUUGAGCUAUUACCUUAGUGCAACUGUCCCACGUCGAAGCCACAGAACAAAUUUGGUAAGGAUAAAUACUUUUUUACUACCAAAUUCAAUCGUGCGUGAAACGCACGUAGCAGUGUGGUUUUGUGAUGGAGGAGCACGUGCGUUUGACAAUGGGUGCCCAUUGUAACUCGAAAAAUUACAAAAAUGACCCUUGUGACUCUUGAUGUCAUGCGCAUACACAAAACCGGACGAGUUAUUACGUCAUCUGGCCACAGAUCCGAGCGGGUCAUUAUGUCAUCCGGCGAUUCACUGUACAGAAUCGUCGGUUUUUCUCUAGAACUUCGAUUUUACAAAAGAAUCGACACGGGAUGAUUGAUUCCAGGUUCGAAUCGGCCGAUUCUUUACCGACCCGACGAUUUUUAAAACGCUGGUUCUAGUACCUUCCAUAAGAUCUUGAUGACUAAUUUAUAGAAUGGGUGGGUUAUUUCUCUCACCCAACAAGUCACUUAAAAUCAAUGGUGCAAAUUCAAUCUCACUAAAGUGGCAAACUAUAUGGAAACCUAAGGAACCCUAAUCUCAUUGAAAUAAUAUAUAAAAGGGUGCACUCGGCUCAUUUAAAACACACCUCUCUCUUCUCUUUCUCUCACAUCUCUCAUAGAGGGGCACGCCUCACCUAACGUCUCUCUCGCUCUCUCAUCUCAUAGAAGGGGCACACCCCGCCUAAACGUAGUCUAGGUUAUGAUAGUCUAUCUCCCAUCUUCUAUCUCUCUCAUGGCCUAAGGGUUAAGGUUUUAGUAUUAAGAAGCUCAUCUCUCUCAUUUAGGUGAUCGAAGGGUAAACUUUAGUUUUGAGAUCUAAGCCUUGUGAUAAAAGUUAUUGUUUUGUUGGAGGUUUGGCCUAUAUGUUUUCCCAUCUUGGAGAUUGAGGUUUACCAUUGAUCUUGCACUAUUGGAGGUGGUGAUUCGGUGUGGGGUGUAUUAAGCCCGGUUGAGGUAAUCUCCGACAUCUUAUUUCUUGUUUCUUGCCAUACUUAUUGCUUUUAUCUUUAUUAUUUCCAAUAUUAGUAUUAUGGUUUUGAUUGAUUAAUGAAAGAGUGGUUUUAGUGGUAUCAAGUUGUAGAUCCUAGUUUUAUUUUUCUUUAAUUGUUUCAAGUCAAUUUAUUCUAACGGACUACUUGUA
RNAcentral lists this long non-coding RNA (1310 nucleotides) under Amborella trichopoda. RNAcentral describes it as "long non-coding RNA (ATRI_LNC004677)". Lineage: Eukaryota; Viridiplantae; Streptophyta; Magnoliopsida; Amborellales; Amborellaceae. The record is from RNAcentral.